UACGAAGGGGGCUAGCGUUGCUCGGAAUGACUGGGCGUAAAGGGCGCGUAGGUGGCGCGACAAGUCAGUGGUGAAAGUUCGACGCUCAACGUCGAAUCGGCCACUGAUACUGUUGGGCUUGAGCACUGUAGAGGCUAAUGGAAUUCCGGGUGUAGCGGUGGAAUGCGUAGAGAUCGGGAGGAACACCAGUGGCGAAGGCGGCUACCUGGACCAGCACUGACACUGAGGCACGAAAGCGUGGGGAGCAAACAGG
RNAcentral lists this ribosomal RNA (253 nucleotides) under uncultured bacterium. Its description in RNAcentral is "partial 16S ribosomal RNA". It matches the Rfam family "Bacterial small subunit ribosomal RNA", at positions 524 to 776 of the family's 1533-position model. The record is from RNAcentral.